CAUCGGUUCUACGGCACCGCCGACGUGUCGGCAUCGCAGUGACCGAGGGAGAUGCGCCGCACUCAUGGAGUGAAAAAUCAAGGAGUGGGUAGAGUUUGGUAGGUCCCAUCGGACUCGAAGAAGUCAGACCCC
This 132-nucleotide non-coding RNA is filed under the name unclassified sequences. The record is from Rfam.